Perca flavescens (yellow perch) is the source of this 3483-nucleotide RNA transcript. It is a transcript of the gene named MAF bZIP transcription factor a, with no coding region annotated. The record is from RefSeq and is a predicted model, not a curated record. Lineage: Eukaryota; Metazoa; Chordata; Actinopteri; Perciformes; Percidae. The transcript is spliced from 4 exons.
CCAGUCAGCACCUUGUAACGUGCGAGGCUGCAUUCACUCCCCUACUUUCGGCGUUUCUCCCUCUCCGCUUGCGCAAUGUAUUAAUGAAGAACCCGUAAAGUGUUAAAUGUUUGAAAUACAAAACCGCCGAAUUCCACAUGCUGAAAAAGGACUCCGCUACUCGUGCGCGCGGCACUGGUGUGUCUGUGCAAUAGACUCUGCAAAGAAAAACUACUCUCACACGCCUGCAAGUCCGCGGCUGCAAAAAGGACGCUGAAAACCUCAUUUUUCAGUUUCAAGACAAACGCUUAAAAAUCAAACUGGCUCACGUUCUUUCCAGCCAACCCAGUUUGACAGCUGCUCUUCACCCCACUUGGAGGACUGUCAGCAGCAAGAGGAUGGCAUCAGAGCUGGCAAUGAGCAACUCCGACCUGCCCACCAGUCCCCUGGCCAUGGAAUAUGUUAAUGACUUCGAUCUGAUGAAGUUUGAAGUGAAAAAGGAGCCGGUGGAGCCCGAUCGCAACAUCAGCCAGUGCAGUCGCCUUAUCGCCGGGGGAUCCUUGUCUUCCACCCCGAUGAGCACGCCGUGCAGCUCGGUGCCCCCUUCCCCAAGCUUCUCGGCGCCCAGUCCGGGCUCGGGGAGCGAGCAGAAGACACACAUAGAGGAUUUCUACUGGAUGUCCGGUUAUCAACAGCAGUUGAAUCCAGAGGCGCUGGGCUUCAGCCCCGAAGACGCAGUCGAGGCGCUGAUCAACAGCAGUCACCAGCUCCAGUCAUUCGAUGGCUAUGCAAGGGGCCAGCAGUUUGCUGGCGCAGCCGGAGCAGGAGGCACCAUGGCCGGGGAAGAGAUGGGGUCCGCAGCGGCGGUGGUGUCGGCCGUUAUCGCUGCGGCAGCCGCUCAGAACGGAGGGCAACACCACCACCACCACCAUCACCACCACAGCAACAGCCACCACCAAGGACCUGGCGUCCAGUCCAACGGCACUUCUGGGACAAUUCACCCACACAUGCGCUUGGAUGACCGUUUUUCAGACGACCAGCUGGUCAGCAUGUCAGUGCGGGAGCUCAACCGGCAGCUACGGGGGGUCAGCAAGGAAGAAGUGAUCAGAUUGAAACAGAAGAGGAGGACCCUAAAGAACAGAGGCUACGCGCAGUCCUGCCGGUUCAAGCGGGUCCAGCAGCGGCACGUCCUGGAGGGAGAGAAGACGCAACUCGUCCAGCAGGUCGAUCACCUAAAGCAGGAGAUCUCCAGGCUGGUCCGGGAGAGGGACGCGUACAAAGAAAAGUAUGAGAAGCUCAUCAGCAACGGCUUCAGAGAAAAUGGAUCCAGCAGUGACAACAACCCUUCAUCCCCGGAGUUUUUCAUGUCAUCCAGAAAAUUCCUCCAUCUGUGAUUUCAAGCCCCAAUCGUCCGUGCCCUUGGCUCUCUGAGGCACACCUCAGGGGUUCGCCAUGCAAAGAGAUACUGGAGUUCAGAGCCCAGCAGAGAGUUGAAGGACCCAGAAUAUGCUGACAAAGAUAAAACACCAGAUAACCCAAUGACUGAGCAGUGAUGACAUCAGAGCGGCUGACCAAUUGCACGAAGACACCUACAAAGCACAACGUUCAAAAAUGACUUCACUGAAGAACAAAAGACAAGACCCGCUGAAAUCCCUACAGUGAAAUUCUUGAAAGCCUCUUACUACUCCCGAUUCCCUCCCUAAUAUUUUACCUCCAGCUUUUUUCUACAAAACACGAAAGAAAAAAAAAAGAAAAGAAAAAACAUACAGACUCAUACUCAUGAGAUGGUUGACAAUGUCAGAUAGAUACAUUGGAAGGACUAUUUUCUCUUCGGUGGGAAGAUCAUUGAUGCAUGCCUCUGUAAAUAGAUCAUAAUAAAACCCUAUUCUUAUUCCUAAUAUAGGAAACAUACCAAGUCGUUCUCACCAACUUCAUAAAUCUUCAUGACUGUGGAUUGAGUACUCAUGGUUCAAUAUUUUCCAUAUGUAGUCAGUAUUCUUCUUACCUCCUCAGAGACCAUGUAAUUAUCAUUUCCAUUAUAAUUUCUCUACUCUUUGGAGUUAUUUGGACUGUAAAAAGUGUACUUCCUAUUCUUCUUAUUCUCUUUACAUAACAGCCUAGUCUUCCUCUCCAAUAUCCACACUAGAACAUGUAAAUAGAGAUGAAUGAGGACAACAGCAUGGAACAGACUAUAGUGUAUAUUUACCACUCCCCUAGUAGAUCACACAUCUCAAUAUGUGGAUAUUUCAAUUAACCAUUUUAAAAGUUUAAAAUACUUGAACUUGUUUUCUGAUAGUUAAAGACAUAGUCCUAGGUAUCUGGACACUUUUCCUAUGUAUUUAAAUAGAUGCGUAAAGGCAUUAGCUAUAUGUAAUGAUAUUAUUUGACUACCUUAUAGGGAAGCAAUCCAUUUGGUAUCAUCAAUCAGUUCCAUCUGUAAACAAACGGUCAAAAUGAAGAGGAAAAGACAAUUCACUAAAGCCAGUGCCAGUCUACCUUGGUACUACUAAACUAAAUAUUAUUUUUUAACUUUUUAUAUUGUUUUAUAUUGUUAUUUACACUUCCCCCCCAGUACCUACCUAUUUAAUCUUUCCCAUGGCAAUAAUAGCCCUCUCCAUCCACAUGUGUGGGUUGUAACUGCUGUGGCGAAGCCGCUGUUAGCCUGAGAGGGCCAUUUUUUUCUUUGCAUUGUUUGAUACGGUGCUCUGAUCCUGAGCCUACACAUGGGGGAAAAGAACACCUCAUUGAUUGCAAUGUAGACACGAGGACUCUGACCUCCGUCUUCUAUGGACUACGAAGAUAACCAAAUGGACUGACAGAUAAUAUGCCAAGCCAAUGAAGAGACAACCUCACAGGUUACCCCGUCACUGGUGAAGACAGAAAACCUUUGCAUGGACAACAGGGAAAACACUAGUUUGUUGAACACCUCAUCUCCACUAUAGUGCAUCCUCUACCUCUCAGUGUGUGCUGUGCAUCUACAGUAGGAAACCAUAACUUAUCUGUGACCCCCUCUACUAUCUCCACAGCCCACGUCAACACUGCAUGUUCCCAGAGCCUCAUGAGAAAAGUGUCCAUUCUGAUGGAUGCACAUAGUGAUGGGGAAAAACAAAACAAACACUGGUUCACUUUGACACCAACAAACUCUCACAUAGGAGCGCAUGCAUAUAGAUGCACAAUCAUUAAACAGCGCUCAAAUAUGUUGCUGUAUAUAUGUAGUGUAUCCCCUAUGAAUAGUCUCAGAUGCUGUACUUUGCAUGUUGACUUGUAGAUGGCACGUGACCAUUACUCAUAAAAGAGGUUGUGCAGGUAGGCCUAGUCACUGGAUUGACUCUCUAAGCCAAUGCAAGCUCUUUGUCAGCUUUGCAUCUCCUUAUUUUUGAUUUGAAUAAAUGUAUCGUAACACGACAUAAACUGUUUCAUAGCCCCUGUUGCUAUUGCGAAAGGUCCUCUUCAGCCAAACAGCAGCACUGAUAGAUUUUAAACUCUUUGAAGGGACACAUAACC